UUUAUACGGAGAGUUUGAUCCUGGCUCAGGACGAACGCUGGCGGCGUGCUUAACACAUGCAAGUCGAACGGUCUACCUCGACAGAAACCUUCGGGUUGAAGACGAGAUCUAGAUAGUGGCGGACGGGUGAGUAACACGUGAAUAAUCUAUCCUCAAGUUUGGGAUAACCUGGCG
RNAcentral lists this ribosomal RNA (174 nucleotides) under Halanaerobium congolense. Its description in RNAcentral is "16S rRNA. Bacterial SSU". It matches the Rfam family "Bacterial small subunit ribosomal RNA", at positions 1 to 153 of the family's 1533-position model. Lineage: Bacteria; Bacillati; Bacillota; Clostridia; Halanaerobiales; Halanaerobiaceae. The record is from RNAcentral.